UACGUAGGGUGCAAGCGUUAAUCGGAAUUACUGGGCGUAAAGCGUACGCAGGCGGCUUUGCAAGACAGGUGUGAAAUCCCCGGGCCUAACCUGGGAACUGCAUUUGUGACUGCAUGACUAGAGUUUGUCAGAGGGGGGUGGAAUUCCACGUGUAGCAGUGAAAUGCGUAGAUAUGUGGAGGAACACCGAUGGCGAAGGCAGCCCCCUGGGAUGUGACUGACGCUCAUGUACGAAAGCGUGGGGAGCAAACGGG
This 253-nucleotide ribosomal RNA is filed under the name uncultured bacterium. RNAcentral's name for it is "partial 16S ribosomal RNA". It matches the Rfam family "Bacterial small subunit ribosomal RNA", at positions 524 to 776 of the family's 1533-position model. The record is from RNAcentral.